UGUCCCAGUGCCUGAAGUUCAGGCCUCUCACGCAGCGUAGGAGAAAGAUGUCCGCUUUUUACUUCCGGAGAAGUAAACUUUAAAGAGGAUGUCCCUGCCUUGAGUCCCCAGGCCUCUCACGUGAAGAAGAAUCCCUCAUACACAGAGCACAGGAUGCCUGUGUUUUCCCUCCCCACCGUCCUUUCCUGGCUGGUCUCGGCUCCCGGUUUACCGGGAGUUCUUCAGACCUCCGUGUGUGGCGUCAGGGAGCGCGCACAGAGCUGUUAAUGCAGAACAAAAUGGCCGCCUCUUAGGGUUUGUGGAGCCUGAUGAGGGAAUUACUGCCAGUUUAUACUCUGGGCCCUCACACAUGUCUUUCGUUCCGACAGCUCCAGUGGUUUUUAUUCCAACUGAUCUGCAACCCAUCCCGAAAUUGUUUCAGUAAGGCUCGCUCGGUCGUUCUGUCGGCAACAUUGCAAACUGCACGCCUGGGGGUGAGUGGAAGGGCUGCUCUGGUCUUUGAACUGGAAUGGAAGCCGGCUGUCACCUUGAGCCUCAACUCCCUUGUUUAUGCAGCUCUGUCAGAACUUUCCACCAGGACUCAGACCCCAUCCCUGGCCAUCCAGUCAUGGUAGGGAGGGCAGUGGGAUAUUAUUCAGCUAGAAGAAGGGAUGGAAUUCUGACACGUGCUGCAACAUGGAUGAACCUUGAAGACAGUGUGAUAAGUGAAGAAGAGCCGACACAAAGACUAUAUAUUGUAUGAUUCUACUUGGAGGAGAGAUCCAGAACAGGCAACUUCUGUAGAUACAGAAAAUGGAUCACGGUUGCCAGGACUGACGAUGCGGGAAGGGGAAUGACUGCUAAUGAGUACAGGGUUUCUUUUUGGGCUGAUGAAAGUGUUCUGGUUUCACAACCUUGAGAAUAUGUUAAAAACCACUGAGUAUGCACUUUAAAAUGGUGAAUCUUAUAGUAUGUGAAUUACAUCUCAAUAAAAUGGUAUCUACUUUAAAGGUAAAAAAGCGCUAAUAAAUAUUCCAGUUUUUCCAA
This is a long non-coding RNA of Felis catus (domestic cat), 1026 nucleotides long. RefSeq lists it as uncharacterized. The record is from RefSeq and is a predicted model, not a curated record. The transcript is spliced from 4 exons. Lineage: Eukaryota; Metazoa; Chordata; Mammalia; Carnivora; Felidae.